Molecule: ribosomal RNA, 1107 nt
Filed under: Penicillium chrysogenum
Lineage: Eukaryota; Fungi; Ascomycota; Eurotiomycetes; Eurotiales; Aspergillaceae
Description: eukaryotic LSU rRNA
Rfam family: 5.8S ribosomal RNA (bases 757-910)
Source: RNAcentral
GAACCGCGUUAUGAAUCAAUCAAUAAUCGAGGAUCUCGCUAUCGAUGCUAUGAUAAACGAGAGACCCCGCUAGUCGCAGCAUACGAAAACCGAGGAACACCGCUGAUGAUACCAUAAAAAAAUCGAAUGAACACGCUAAUGAAACCAAUAAAAACCGAGUACCUACCCGUAAGGAUAUGCAUACAAUAAGCGAGAUCCUCCGCUAUGAUUAUGCAUAUCCAUAAGCGGCGAUCCUCAGCUGAUGAUAUGCACAUCAUUAGCGAGGAUCCUCCGCUCAUGAUAUGCAUAUCAUAAGCGAGGAUCCCCCGCAUAUGAUAUGCAUACGCAUAAGCGGAGGAUCCUCCGCUUACUGAUAAGCAUAUCAAUAAGCGGAAGAUCCUCCGCUGAGCGAUAUAUUACGUCCCUAGCCUUGUACACACCGCCCGUCGUUACUACCGAUUGAAUGGCUCAGUGAGGCCUUGGGACUGGCUCAGGAAGGUUGGCAACGACCCUCCAGAGCCGGAAACUUGGUCAAACUCGGUCAUUUAGAGGAAGUACAAGUCGUAACAAGGUUUCCGUAGGUGAACCUGCGGAAGGAUCAUUACCGAGUGAGGGCCCUCUGGGUCCAACCUCCCACCCGUGUUUAUUCUACCUUGUUGCUUUGGCGGGCCCGCCUCACGGCCGCCGGGGGGCUUCUGCCCCCGGGCCCGCGCCCGCCGAAGACACCUAGAACUCUGUCUGAAGAUUGUCGUCUGAGUGAAAAUAUAAAUUAUUUAAAACUUUCAACAACGGAUCUCUUGGUUCCGGCAUCGAUGAAGAACGCAGCGAAAUGCGAUACGUAAUGUGAAUUGCAGAAUUCAGUGAAUCAUCGAGUCUUUGAACGCACAUUGCGCCCUCUGGUAUUCCGGAGGGCAUGCCUGUCCGAGCGUCAUUGCUGCCCUCAAGCACGGCUUGUGUGUUGGGCCCCGUCCUCCGAUACCGGGGGACGGGCCCGAAAGGCAGCGGCGGCCCCGAGUCCGGUCCUAGAGCGUAUGGGGCUUUGUCACCCGCUCUGUAGACCCGACAGGCACCUGCCGAUCAACCCCACUUUCCAGGUGACAUCAGAAGCGGUAGUACUUCUUUUCCAAC